RNAcentral lists this ribosomal RNA (253 nucleotides) under uncultured bacterium. Its description in RNAcentral is "partial 16S ribosomal RNA". It matches the Rfam family "Bacterial small subunit ribosomal RNA", at positions 524 to 776 of the family's 1533-position model. The record is from RNAcentral.
UACGUAGGGGGCAAGCGUUGUCCGGAUUUAUUGGGCGUAAAGCGCGUGUAGGCGGCCAGGUAGGUCCGCUGUGAAAACCCGAGGCUCAACCUCGGGACGUCGGCGGAAACCAUUUGGCUAGAGUCCGGAAGAGGAGAGUGGAAUUCCCGGUGUAGCGGUGAAAUGCGCAGAUAUCGGGAAGAACACCCGUAGCGAAGGCGGCUCUCUGGGACGGUACUGACGCUGAGACGCGAAAGCGUGGGGAGCGAACAGG